Molecule: ribosomal RNA, 528 nt
Filed under: uncultured bacterium
Lineage: Bacteria
Description: bacterial SSU rRNA
Rfam family: Bacterial small subunit ribosomal RNA
Source: RNAcentral
AGAGUUUGAUCCUGGCUCAGAUUGAACGCUGGCGGCAGGCCUAACACAUGCAAGUCGAACGGUAACAGGAAGCAGCUUGCUGCUUCGCUGACGAGUGGCGGACGGGUGAGUAAUGUCUGGGAAACCGCCCGAUGGAGGGGGAUAACUACUGGAAACGGUAGCUAAUACCGCAUAACGUCGCAAGACCAAAGAGGGGGACCUUCGGGCCUCUUACCAUCGGAUGUGCCCAGAUGGGAUUAGCUAGUUGGUGAGGUAACGGCUCACCAAGGCGACGAUCCCUAGCUGGUCUGAGAGGAUGACCAGCCACACUGGAACUGAGACACGGUCCAGACUCCUACGGGAGGCAGCAGUGGGGAAUAUUGCACAAUGGGCGCAAGCCUGAUGCAGCCAUGCCGCGUGUAUGAAGAAGGCCUUCGGGUUGUAAAGUACUUUCAGCGGGGAGGAAGGGGAUGUGGUUAAUAACCGCGUUCAUUGACGUUACCCGCAGAAGAAGCACCGGCUAACUCCGUGCCAGCAGCCGCGGUAAUA